AACGUAGGUCCCGAGCGUUAUCCGGAUUUACUGGGCGUAAAGCGCGUGCAGGCGGCCGUGCAAGUCGGGCAUGAAAUCUCUCGGCUCAACCGGGAGAGGCUGUCCGAUACUGCGCGGCUUGAGGACGGAAGAGGCGGGUGGAAUUCCGCAUGUAGUGGUGAAAUGCGUAGAGAUGCGGAGGAACACCAGUGGCGAAAGCGGCCCGCUGGCCCGCUCCUGACGCUCAGACGCGAAAGCUCGGGGAGCGAAC
Molecule: ribosomal RNA, 250 nt
Filed under: uncultured bacterium
Lineage: Bacteria
Description: partial 16S ribosomal RNA
Rfam family: Bacterial small subunit ribosomal RNA
Source: RNAcentral